RNAcentral lists this ribosomal RNA (253 nucleotides) under uncultured bacterium. RNAcentral's name for it is "partial 16S ribosomal RNA". It matches the Rfam family "Bacterial small subunit ribosomal RNA", at positions 524 to 776 of the family's 1533-position model. The record is from RNAcentral.
UACAGAGGGUGCAAGCGUUAAUCGGAAUUACUGGGCGUAAAGCGCACGUAGGCGGUUUUUUAAGUCAGAUGUGAAAGCCCCGGGCUCAACCUGGGAAUUGCAUUUGAAACUGGGAAACUAGAGUGUGUGAGAGUGGGGUAGAAUUCCAAGUGUAGCGGUGAAAUGCGUAGAGAUUUGGAGGAAUACCAGUGGCGAAGGCGGCCCCCUGGCACAACACUGACGCUCAGGUGCGAAAGCGUGGGGAGCAAACAGG